GUCAAACUCGCCGUUGGAGUGUGCGUCUCGAUGCAGGUCCUACAGAUUUGCAGGCGUUGAGAACAGCAACGAGUGCUUCUGUGGAAACGUGCAGCCAGUUGUGAGUAAGCCCGAGUCUGAAUGUAAUGCUGUGUGCCCCGGGGAAAGCACAAAGAAAUGCGGAGGAGUCUGGAGGGUCAGUGUCUACAGCAACAGGGCUCCCAUGUACCGCGGAUGCUACGUGGAUACGAUACCCCGCGUCUUGCCUACUCAAAAGACUCCCAACUCGCCCACAAACACGCCUUUGGAAUGUGCCUCUCGCUGCAUUGGUUUCGCUUUUAGCGGCGUUGAGGCCAGCGGUGAGUGUUUCUGCGGCACAGUACUACCCACAGUGCUAAAGCCUGACUCCGAAUGUAACUAUGCGUGUCCUGGGAACAGCGCAUUGAAAUGUGGCGGGU
Long non-coding RNA from Dreissena polymorpha, 437 nucleotides. RefSeq lists it as uncharacterized. Lineage: Eukaryota; Metazoa; Mollusca; Bivalvia; Myida; Dreissenidae. The transcript is spliced from 4 exons. The record is from RefSeq and is a predicted model, not a curated record.